RNAcentral lists this ribosomal RNA (253 nucleotides) under uncultured bacterium. Its description in RNAcentral is "partial 16S ribosomal RNA". It matches the Rfam family "Bacterial small subunit ribosomal RNA", at positions 524 to 776 of the family's 1533-position model. The record is from RNAcentral.
UACGUAGGGUGCAAGCGUUGUCCGGAAUUAUUGGGCGUAAAGAGCUCGUAGGCGGUUUGUCGCGUCUGGUGUGAAAACGCGAGGCUCAACCUCGGGCCUGCAGUGGGUACGGGCAGACUAGAGUGCGGUAGGGGAGAUUGGAAUUCCUGGUGUAGCGGUGGAAUGCGCAGAUAUCAGGAGGAACACCGAUGGCGAAGGCAGAGCGCUGGGCCGUAACUGACGCUGAGGAGCGAAAGCGUGGGGAGCGAACAGG